GAGCGCGUAGCUCAGUUGGCUAGAGCGCCACCUUGACACGGUGGAGGUCGUUGGUUCGAGCCCAAUCGCGCUCACCA
RNAcentral lists this transfer RNA (77 nucleotides) under Lentisphaerae bacterium ADurb.BinA184. RNAcentral describes it as "tRNA-Val". It matches the Rfam family "tRNA". Rfam says of the family: Transfer RNA (tRNA) molecules are approximately 80 nucleotides in length. Their secondary structure includes four short double-helical elements and three loops (D, anti-codon, and T loops). Further hydrogen bonds mediate the characteristic L-shaped molecular structure. tRNAs have two regions of fundamental functional importance: the anti-codon, which is responsible for specific mRNA codon recognition, and the 3' end, to which the tRNAs corresponding amino acid is attached (by aminoacyl-tRNA synthetases). tRNAs cope with the degeneracy of the genetic code in two manners: having more than one tRNA (with a specific anti-codon) for a particular amino acid; and 'wobble' base-pairing, i.e. permitting non-standard base-pairing at the 3rd anti-codon position. Lineage: Bacteria; Pseudomonadati; Lentisphaerota. The record is from RNAcentral.